Molecule: ribosomal RNA, 301 nt
Filed under: uncultured bacterium
Lineage: Bacteria
Description: partial 16S ribosomal RNA
Rfam family: Bacterial small subunit ribosomal RNA
Source: RNAcentral
CAGCCGCCGCGGGAAUACGGAGGGCGCGAGCGUUACCCGGAUUUACUGGGCGUAAAGGGCGUGUAGGCGGCCUGGGGCGUCCCAUGUGAAAGGCCACGGCUCAACCGUGGAGGAGCGUGGGAUACGCUCAGGCUAGAGGGUGGGAGAGGGUAGUGGAAUUCCCGGAGUAGCGGUGAAAUGCGCAGAUACCGGGAGGAACGCCGAUGGCGAAGGCAGCCACCUGGUCCACUUCUGACGCUGAGGCGCGAAAGCGUGGGGAGCAAACCGGAUUAGAUACCCGUGUAGUCCCUGUCUCUUAUAC